This is a long non-coding RNA of Mus musculus (house mouse), 1465 nucleotides long. RefSeq annotates it as predicted gene, 36741. The transcript has 4 exons. The record is from RefSeq and is a predicted model, not a curated record. Lineage: Eukaryota; Metazoa; Chordata; Mammalia; Rodentia; Muridae.
AAUCGUCUCAUAUGUGUCAUCUUAAUGUGAAAUAAUAUAAUUCGCAAACUUCUAGCACUGGAAUAGAAUUAAAAGAAGGACCCAUGCAAAGCCCUCCUUUAGAUCCAGAUAAUCUAUGAAAUGCUGCUUCUGCAUUUUAUUGCCUUAAAAGGGAAAACUACAAAGAAAUAAAAUCAAUAUACCCCUCAUCAAGGAAAUGUUUCUUUGCAACAGAUGGAGACCACUUUAGAAAACUACAACCAAUUACAAAACAGAGUUGGGCCAAAAGCUGGAAAGAACCCAGAUGUCCCUCAACAGAAGAAUGGAUACAGAAAAUGUGAUACAUUUACACAACGAAAUAAGAACGUUUGCUAAUGUGUGGAAGGAAAAUGGAAAACGUAUUUGGAGCCCUUGCUGCAUUGCCGGUGAGAUGAAUUUACUUUAGACUGGGUGGGCAAAAGGAGCCUCAGAAGGCUACAAGGUAAGACAUAUUGUUAGAUUUCAUAAGAUUCUAAAUUUAAUGUAUGCAAAGAAGCUGGGGCACAAGAGUAACAGGCAGAAGAGCAUAGUUUGUAACCAUCAGAUGUUUCCUGUUUUGAGGAUAGAUCUUUGGGAAGAAGGGAAAAAAAUAACAGUAACUAUAUUUAGGUAAACAGAAAAAUCAAUUUACAUUUGCCUCCUGUUAGACACCAUAGCCUGUCUUCUUUUAUUGGGCUUCUAAUCUCUUCUGUAUAUGUUUAUCAUUACUUUGUUAUCAAUUCUAACUUUAUCUACUUUUUCAGAGUUGGUCACUCCAAAUAUUUCCAUAGUACAUAAUACAACAGUCACAGGAUGUAAGUUAAUGACAAAGAAGUUACAAAUACUGUGACAGAUGUUCUACCAAAGCAAAGAAAUGUUAAUGAAACAUGGCAAGACCUCGUAAAAGGCUUAGAAGAUAAUAGAAAAUUUGUUUCUGAACCUGAAGAGUGACCAUGAACACGUUUAUGACUCCUGAGAGAAAUGCUGUUAGAAGCUUGUCUUGACAAAUCGGCCUUCAUCCAACCAGCCACCAAGUUAAUAGUGUGUUUUCAUAUCAUUCAUAACAAGGAUUUCAUUCUCCUUUAAAUACUGUGGUUUUGACCCAUUCAGAAAUAAAUUACCUUUAAGAAAACUGAUGCAUUGUAAUCAACGUAACUAUGCUUUAGCCUCCAUGAUGUACUAUACUUAUUUUCCUUUUGACCCAGUCAUGCCUCUGAUUCAGAACAGUGUAUGUAUGUGUAAGAUGUGGUAGAUAGCCCAAGGUCAUUCACUGAAAACAGCAUGAGAUUGAAAACAACACCCUCCCUCAGACAAAGAAAAAUGUUGAAAAUAACAUAUGGUUAUAGAUUGACAAAAAAAAAAAUCUGAUUUUGGCUUUGUGGGCUAUUCUGAGUCAAUAUGGCAUACAACAAUUUCCUCCCUUGUGAGACUCCUGGCAAGAUUGACAAAACAAAUAAAUAAUAAAUAA